Erinaceus europaeus (western European hedgehog) is the source of this 101-nucleotide ribosomal RNA. Lineage: Eukaryota; Metazoa; Chordata; Mammalia; Eulipotyphla; Erinaceidae. The record is from Ensembl.
GUCUACAGCCAUACCACCCUGAACACACCCGAUCUCGGAAACUAAGCAGGGUCGGGCCUGGUUAGCACUUGGAUGAAAGAAACAGGGUGGGGGUAUGGAUU